This is a long non-coding RNA of Cavia porcellus (domestic guinea pig), 534 nucleotides long. RefSeq lists it as uncharacterized. The record is from RefSeq and is a predicted model, not a curated record. The transcript is spliced from 2 exons. Lineage: Eukaryota; Metazoa; Chordata; Mammalia; Rodentia; Caviidae.
CUCCCCAGGUCCCUUCGGUUCCCGUGUUCAGGGACGUCCGUGCUGCAAUGAAAGCCGCGCAUUACGAGGCCCACAGAUGGCAGGAAGCCUCACAUCAGGGGAGGAGCAAGAAGGCACACUGGGAUGCUCUGGUCACGCGGCUCUGUCUGCCUGGGACAGUCUUUGUGAGUCUAGGCCCUUAGAAGCUGAUGUUGUUCACAUGAUGACAUACAAGUGUCAUCAUACUGAUGACUUGUGCAUGAGCACCCCCUGUGUGGGACUUGUUUGGGUGGGGAACCGGCCUGUUGCCCUGGGGUGCAGCUGGAAGAAACUGCGUCCUUGUGGUUCUAGGGUUUCUGCUUUACCUAGGGUUCUGCAGAGUUAGUGGACCCGGUAGGCCAGUGCUGGGAGGCCACUCGCCUGCCUCUGUCCUCCUGCAAUCCUCUUAGACCCAGUGCCUUCCUGCUGGAGCACCCACAGCACCCAGUUCUUGUGGUUUAUAGGUGUGAGCUAUGUGGCUUGGGAAUAAAGGGAGCUGAGUACUGUGAGGCAGAA